Molecule: unclassified non-coding RNA, 608 nt
Filed under: Hevea brasiliensis (rubber tree)
Lineage: Eukaryota; Viridiplantae; Streptophyta; Magnoliopsida; Malpighiales; Euphorbiaceae
Source: RNAcentral
GAAUGUCCCAACUCCCAAACCUUUUUACUAUAUUUACUACCCACUGCUUUUCCAUUUACUGAUCAACUCAACAUUGUCUUAAGAUCUAAAUAUCUUCUUCCAACAUAGAACAAGAAGCAUGAUUAGCUCAAAGAAGCUCAUCAAAAUUGCAAGAAAGUGGCAAAGGAGAAGUGCCAUGAGGAGGAAUAGAAUUUCUUUUCCUAAGAUCAACACCAACAGAAACGCUAAAUCUUCUAAUACAUCAACAUCAACUACUACAGGAAAUUUUGUUAUCUACACCAGAGAUCGAAAGCGAUUUACUGUUCCUCAAGCAUAUCUCAACAAUAACAUCAUGAAAGAGCUAUUGAAGAUGUCUGAAGAAGUGUAUGGGCUAUCAAGUUAAGGUCCUAUCAAAUUGCCAUUUGACGCUGUGUUCAUGGAGUAUGUGGUUUCAAUCAUCAAAAAGGGUUUAGUUAAAGACAGAGAAAGCUUUGCGUAUGUCUAUGGAAACCAGUUGCUGCUCAACAUCUGUUGGUUUACAUCAAGGACAUACGAGUCAACAACUGCUCAUUUUUGCUUAUUGAAGUAGUUCAAUUUUGUAACUGAUCCUUAUUACAGUGUAAUAUAUG